This 3444-nucleotide long non-coding RNA is filed under the name Sus scrofa (pig). RNAcentral's name for it is "lncRNA (ENSSSCG00000055880.1)". Lineage: Eukaryota; Metazoa; Chordata; Mammalia; Artiodactyla; Suidae. The record is from RNAcentral.
AAAAAUUAUUUAAUUAUUGAAUAUGAAUGACCUCAUCAGUAAGAUACGGGUGGUAACAAUGGCUACCACUGAGAGUUCUUUGAGGAGGAAAUCUAAUGCCAUACAUGAAUGUACGUAACACAUGGUAAGUAGUCAAUAAAAGUCCCUGUGACCUUUCCAAAUAGGAUAUAUACUUGGAGCUCCUAGAUGUAACAGCCAUGCUUUUAGCUUUUGUUUCUUGGUCCUUUUAGGGCCACACCCAAGGCACAUGGAGGUUCCCAGGCUAGGGGUCUAAUUGCACCAGCCACAGCCACAGCCACGCCAGAUCCAAGCCGUGUAUGCGACCUACACCACAGCUCAUUACAACACCAGAUCCUUAACCCACUGAGCGAGGCCAGGGAUCGAACCCACAACCUCAUGGUUCCUAGUCGGAUUCAUUUCCACUGUGCCAUGACGGGAACAAUGCUUUUAACUUUUUGUAGGCAUCUCCAAAUGCCCCAAAUAUGUUGUGAUGGCCUGUCUUUUGACCAAAACACCAAUUUGUAUGCAGAUAUUAGGAAGUGAACAUGUGGUAACCAAUCACCUGACUUUUAAAUGUUAAAAAAUUCUUUGCUUUCUACUCUCUGGACAUCUUUGUUAACUGUUAUUAAACACCGUAAUAGCAAUUUUAAAGAUUAAGUAUUUGCAUGUGUUUGGGGCUAUGUAAAGGGCCUGCUGUGGAACAAAUAAGAAAUAAUUUUAUGGAGAGAACCUCUAAGCUAAGGAGCAGGCAGCAAAAUAGAUACACUAAAUAGAUACACUAAAAUCAUUAGUAGGAAAGAAUAGUCUUUACUCAUUUAGAUUUAUCACUAUUGUGUAAGAAUUUAGGAGUAAUCACAGUAGCUUGAAUCCCACUUCAUUUGCAGAUUCAAUUCCUUCUUGCUGAAGCACACCUCUUUUAGCAGUUCAUUUAUCAGAUCUUAGUGUGGUGAAAUCGCUCUGUCUUUGCUUGUCUCAAAAUGUCUUUAUUUUUGCCCUCAGUUUUGAGUGACAGAUUAACUGGCUACUGGAGUUCCCUUGUGAUGUUCACUUCCUGUGGGUGCUUUGAAGAUGUUUCCCGGUUGUCCCUGUCAUUGCUACUGAUCAGAUCUUUGCCGGUCCAAUUGCUCUUUUGUAAGCUGCUUUUUUUUUCUCAGCUGGCAUUUAAGGCUUUCUUUUUCUCUUUGAUUUUCUCAAAUUUCACUAUGAUGUGUCUAGGUGUUUAUUACGCAUUUAGUGUUCUUGAGCUUGCACAGAACCUGGAUUCGUUGAGCGGCAGGUUUGGUUCUCUGAAGCUAGAUGAUGAGAUGGAGUAUGGCAAGCACCGUGUUUAUUAGGUGCCAACUAUCUGACCUCUAUUUUGGCAGGUACCGCCAUCCUCAUGGCCAUUGUCAAACCAAGUUCUAUGAUAGCCUCUCUCACUGUCAGCCUGGGUCUGCAUGAACCACCACGGAAUGUUCAGUGAUGCUCAAACCCCUUCCCUUAGCUCAUCCCACAUAACUUUGGUAAAUGGUGUGUCAUCCAAGUCUUCCUGUAAAGCAUAGCCAUCUGGCGGCCAUUGAGCCACAUACAGAAUACCUAUUACUGGCUGCCCACUGCCGUGAGCCUCUGAAGCCUUUCUUCCUUUGUCAUUCGGCCUCGACCAUGUCUCCCCAAAAUUAUGGGCCAUAAUUUUUUCCAUGCUUCCAGGAGCUAACCUCGUAGUCAUUGUGAGUCAUGUCUUAGGGUAUUUGCCAGGGUUAAACUUAUCUAUUCUUUAUCUCAGGACACUAUUCCCAAGUAAAUAUACUUACCCGUGCAGUUUCAUGUUUGGGUCCAGUGUUCUCGGAGUCCAGUGCCACACGUACUCGCUGGCUUCUACCAGUCUGUGCCAGGGAGGGCUUGCAACACCUUUGUGGGUACAGUCCCUUUGUACCCUUAUCUGGCCCAGUACAUCCAGUUGGGUUAUGCUGCUCCUUUGCCCUAGUCCUCGGCCUGGUGUCCCAGAGGAGAUAUGGAGGGGGGGUCCCAAGGAGAGAGGUAGGAUGUGUCACCCUGGGAUAAAGUGUCCUCAGCACUUACACCAUGACACUGGGGAGGGGGCUGUGGAGAGUGGGGAUGCUCAGCCUUGGGGGGAAGAUCGGCAAAUCUUUAGGGUGAGAAGAAGUCAAAAUCUGCAAGGACACACACCUCGAUGUCCCUAGGCUCUGUAUCCAGGCCUAGGUUUUCUCAGCUUCACGUAACAGACCUGUCCUGCUUGGGCAUUUGACAGUCUCUGGGGUGCAGCCAUUAUGUUCAUUAGGUCUGGGCUCCACCCUCAUUUUUCCCUGCUAGAGGAGACGGGAAUUUCUUUGUGUGCAGCCAAAUGAGACCCCCGGCUUUCUCACCCCGUUUUCAGGUGCCUCUAACUCAUCCUUAGCUGCUUUUCAUAUUUCUGUAAAGCAUCAGUGUUACUUAGCAAGAGAUGCCAAGUCGAAAUUAUUACCAUUUUGUCCAUAAUCUUAAAAGUCUGAGACAUUCAACCCACAGGGCCUCCUUUCCACUGAUAGACCCUCUCACUUUACCACCAGUUAAGAGAUUUAGUAAUGUGCCACCCUGUGCCAGGGGCUACAGAAAACAAGGACAGUGGAGCGAGUUCCAGUCCUUGUUACGGUACAUCUGAGAUACCCUGCUGACAUCUCAUGAGUGAGCGUUGACUAUUGAUAUGUAGGUUUUGCCAAGAGGCUAGAAUUGGACUCAUUUCUUUACCCGUAAACUCAUUUAUGUUGGCCAGGAAGCUUUUGAGUUCAUAUAAAGAGUUCAAGGUAGUUUUGCAACAAUUUAUGCACACCAUAACUUCUGCCAACAAUAUUGCCAUGUACCUUCAAAAUGAGAAAUUGGUGUUGGCCUGUUGUAUCAUUAUUUGGGACUAUGCAAAUAAACUGCUAAGUAAGCACUUAUUAAGAGACUUAGAUGAAAAGAAAAAUAUCCUUUAAAUGGAUGACAUAAAUGUCUUUUGACCUUAAAGAACUUAAAAAAAAAAAAAAAAACAAACCGUAAGUCCGCAAUCAUAAUAAUAUUGGGAAAGGGAGUGAUUAUUUAAGUUAAAUGAUCUAUGAGAUAGAGGUGUGUGCUCCUCCCCAUAAAGCAGAACUUCCUACCAAGGGCCUGGGCGAUUCAGUUCACUGCUGUAACAAACAGGAUCACAGCACUCUGUAAGCCAGAGAGAACGUGCAAGGUAGCUUCAAGGACUUGAAUGGGAGCCCCUGGCAGCCCAGUGUUUCCAGACCUCUCUCUGAGGGGAGAUUUCUAGGAGGGUAUUUUCAAUUACCUCCUGUCUGUUCAACCUUUGCAAGGAAUUUAAUUGGAACAGACAGAGUAUUUAAGGGGAAUAAGUAAUGACAGCAUAGAUGGGUAGCGAUCAAUAGCCGGGGGGCCCCUGCCCUAGCUGAUACAUGGUGCUUUCUGAGACUGGUAUGUUCACUCUCG